AUUGAACGCUGGCGGCAGGCCUAACACAUGCAAGUCGAACGAGUGGCGGACGGGUGAGUAAUGUCUGGGAAACUGCCUGAUGGAGGGGGAUAACUACUGGAAACGGUAGCUAAUACCGCAUACCAUCAGAUGUGCCCAGAUGGGAUUAGCUAGUUGGUGGGGUAACGGCUCACAAGGGCGACGCUCCCUCGCUGGUCUGAGAGGAUGAACAGCCACACUGGAACUGAGACACGGUCCAGACUCCUACGGGAGGCAGCAGUGGGGAAUAUUGCACAAUGGGCGCAAGCCUGAUGCAGCCAUGCCGCGUGUAUGAAGAAGGCCUUCGGGUUGUAAAGUACUUUCAGCGGGGAGGCGUGACCAAAAGAAUAAGCACCGGCUAACUUCGUGCCAGCAGCCGCGGUAAUAG
This 406-nucleotide ribosomal RNA is filed under the name uncultured bacterium. RNAcentral describes it as "partial 16S ribosomal RNA". It matches the Rfam family "Bacterial small subunit ribosomal RNA", at positions 30 to 526 of the family's 1533-position model. The record is from RNAcentral.